GUGUGUGUGUGUGCGCGUGGAGGGUUGACGAACACGCUGAAAAAUUCACACACCGUUUGAGUUUACCUGAUUUUGUACUCGUGCACACAACACAUUUUUAAACUCAGCGCACCUGCCCUGUGCUCACAGAGGAGCUGGCUGCAUCAGAAAAACAUCAGAGAGAAUCACUUCUUGUCUGUCUGCGAGUCUGGAUGUGAGCGCCGUGUUUACGUCUGAGGAAACAGGGAAAGCAAACAUCAAGGUCAAAGAUGCUGGAGCCUGUCCAAGCAAUAGAUAGCCUUCUCCCUAACACAGCUGCAGACCUGCUUUAACAUAUAAUAUGUCCCAGAGGGGCAACAAAGCAUUAGAUAGCUGGGUUUAGUUUAGAAUACUCAGAAUGGUUACAGUAAAGAGUUAUUUGUCUUUAUAAUUUUCACCGGACAUGUUAGACCCUUUAUCCACACAGAAACACAAUAUCUGACCAGAUAUAGUGUGGACAUAAGGGUCUAGCAUACACUUCAAAUCAAACCUAACAUAUAAUUUAGAAAUGUUUAAGCUCAAUCUUUUAGCUUAGUCUUGUCAUUCAUUGUCUCACUGUCCAGCAGACGGACUAAACAUAAUCCUGAUGCCUGCUCUUAACGCUGACCUCAUUAGCCAGACGUCCAUGGGCAUCUCUAGGUCAUCUCCACUAAAACAAAGAGUAACCAGUCUUUACUCUUCCAUCCUGUUUCUUUAUCCCUCUGUCAGUCCAGCACUCAAUCCACACAUUCUGUUUUUUUUUCUAUGUCUCUGUGUCCAUCUGUCUUGAAUUAUGUAUUCUAAUGCAUUUAGAGCGAGGCACAAAGUGGCAGACCACACUGGACUGCUUUUAGUCGUGCCAUGCGUCGCCAUCCAAUGGAUCACAGGAAAAGCCCGAGAAGUCUCCGUCCUUCUUGUCUGCGUGUUAGAGGUUGUCUCUGUUUCCGACACUAAAAGCCUGGAAAAUGGAGCAGGAUGAGAGGAGGAGAGAAGGAGUGAGAGGAGAGAGGGAGAGGAGGGCCCGGCGGUGAGGCCUGUCCGUCUACCUCCUUCGGCCUGGCUGGCUAACCGGUCUGAACCGGUUCUGACAUAGGUGAACCGGAGACGUGUCCUCUUUCGCCUCUGGACAAAAAAGAAUCUUGGUGGCAUUCCAUCUAUAGGCAACAGGUACCAGGCGUGUGUGUGUGUGUGUGUGUGUAUGUACGUGUAUGUGUGUGUGUGUGCAUGUGUAUGUGUGUGUGUCUGUCUGUCUCCCAAGACCUUUGAGGCCUGGAUCAUUGCCAAGUUCAUCUGUUAAUGGACAGCUACGAGGAGAGUUUCCCCAUCCCCCCUCUUGCCCUGCUCGUCGUCUCUGCAGCAGCCGUCCCUGCUCACGACCCCCCCUUAACCUCCCCAACCCCCCUAUCCAGGCCCGUUCAGAUCCAGACCUACCCUCUCCCUCUACUCCUUUUCUCUUCCUCCUCCUGAAAGCUAUAUCAUUCCCUUUUCUCCCUUCUCUCCUCCUCCUUUCUGCCCCCCCAGCACUCCGUGCUUCACCCAUUCAAGAUAAACAGAGUGCUUCAAGUUCAGCAGACACCCUGGGACCCUUUAACAAAGCCAUCUAUCAUGCUGUCUGCCUUGGACUUCUUGGGCCACAUUGGGCUCUGCUGCUGCKGCUUCUCUGUCCGUCUCUGAGUCCAGAGUCUGGACACCUACAGGCUGGACCCAGACCAGCCAACACUCCUGCUGACUCUGACUAGCUGCUUUUACUAUCUGAUCCUGAGCUGGACAAUUUCCCCAUUGUGUCUCUGGCCCCUACUGGCCCCCUCCAAGACCACAGUAAAAAAAAAAA
Austrofundulus limnaeus is the source of this 1828-nucleotide long non-coding RNA. RefSeq lists it as uncharacterized. The transcript is spliced from 2 exons. Lineage: Eukaryota; Metazoa; Chordata; Actinopteri; Cyprinodontiformes; Rivulidae. The record is from RefSeq and is a predicted model, not a curated record.